RNAcentral lists this ribosomal RNA (828 nucleotides) under Yarrowia lipolytica. RNAcentral describes it as "LSU rRNA". It matches the Rfam family "Eukaryotic large subunit ribosomal RNA", at positions 38 to 968 of the family's 3401-position model. The record is from RNAcentral. Lineage: Eukaryota; Fungi; Ascomycota; Dipodascomycetes; Dipodascales.
GCAUAUCAAUAAGCGGAGGAAAAGAAACCAACAGGGAUUGCCUCAGUAACGGCGAGUGAAGCGGCAAAAGCUCAAAUUUGAAACCCUCGGGAUUGUAAUUUGAAGAUUUGGCAUUGGAGAAAGCUAACCCAAGUUGCUUGGAAUAGUACGUCAUAGAGGGUGACAACCCCGUCUGGCUAACCGUUCUCCAUGUAUUGCCUUAUCAAAGAGUCGAGUUGUUUGGGAAUGCAGCUCAAAGUGGGUGGUAAACUCCAUCUAAAGCUAAAUACUGGUGAGAGACCGAUAGCGAACAAGUACUGUGAAGGAAAGGUGAAAAGAACUUUGAAAAGAGAGUGAAAUAGUAUGUGAAAUUGUUGAUAGGGAAGGAAAUGAGUGGAGAGUGGCCGAGGUUUCAGCCGCCCCUCGUGGGCGGUGUACUGCCGACGCCGAGUCAUCGAUAGCGAGACGAGGGUUACAAAUGGGAGCGCCUUCGGGCGUUCUCCCCUAACCCUCCACACUGCCACCGACGACAUAAUCCACCCAUUUCACCCGUCUUGAAACACGGACCAAGGAGUCUAAUGGAUAUGUGAGUGUUAGGGUGGCAAACCCCAGCGCGCAAUGAAAGUGAAUGGAUUCGUUCAGAAUCGACCGAACUUGAUUAUUAUGACAGUUUUGAGUAAACACAUCCAUUGGGACCCGAAAGAUGGUGAACUAUGCCUGGAUAGGGUGAAGUCAGAGGAAACUCUGAUGGAGGCUCGUAGCGGUUCUGACGUGCAAAUCGAUCGUAGGAUCUGGGUAUAGGGGCGAAAGACUAAUCGAACCAUCUAGUAGCUGGUUCCUGCCGAAGUU